UACGGAGGGAGCUAGCGUUGUUCGGAAUUACUGGGCGUAAAGCGCACGUAGGCGGCUCAGCAAGUCAGGGGUGAAAUCCCGGGGCUCAACCCCGGAACUGCCCUUGAAACUGCUAAGCUAGAAUCUUGGAGAGGCGAGUGGAAUUCCGAGUGUAGAGGUGAAAUUCGUAGAUAUUCGGAAGAACACCAGUGGCGAAGGCGACUCGCUGGACAAGUAUUGACGCUGAGGCACGAAGGCCAGGGGAGCAAACGGG
RNAcentral lists this ribosomal RNA (253 nucleotides) under uncultured bacterium. Its description in RNAcentral is "partial 16S ribosomal RNA". It matches the Rfam family "Bacterial small subunit ribosomal RNA", at positions 524 to 776 of the family's 1533-position model. The record is from RNAcentral.